RNAcentral lists this transfer RNA (69 nucleotides) under Cephalopterus ornatus (amazonian umbrellabird). Its description in RNAcentral is "tRNA-Arg". It matches the Rfam family "tRNA". Rfam says of the family: Transfer RNA (tRNA) molecules are approximately 80 nucleotides in length. Lineage: Eukaryota; Metazoa; Chordata; Aves; Passeriformes; Cotingidae. The record is from RNAcentral.
AGAAAGUUAGUCCAAUAAAGACAGUUGAUUUCGACUCAACAGACCACAGUCCCAACCUGUGACUUUCUC